RNAcentral lists this ribosomal RNA (254 nucleotides) under uncultured bacterium. Its description in RNAcentral is "partial 16S ribosomal RNA". It matches the Rfam family "Bacterial small subunit ribosomal RNA", at positions 524 to 776 of the family's 1533-position model. The record is from RNAcentral.
CACGUAGGGUGCGAGCGUUGUCCGGAAUUAUUGGGCGUAAAGAGCUCGUAGGCGGUGUGUCGCGUCGGCCGUGAAAACCUGCAGCUUAACUGUGGGCUUGCGGUCGAUACGGGCAUCACUGGAGUUCGGCAGGGGAGACUGGAAUUCCUGGUGUAGCGGUGAAAUGCGCAGAUAUCAGGAGGAACACCAGUGGCGAAGGCGACACGCUGGGCCAUACCUGACGCUAAAGCGCGACAGCAUGGGGAGCAAACGGG